This 407-nucleotide ribosomal RNA is filed under the name uncultured bacterium. Its description in RNAcentral is "partial 16S ribosomal RNA". It matches the Rfam family "Bacterial small subunit ribosomal RNA", at positions 30 to 526 of the family's 1533-position model. The record is from RNAcentral.
AUUGAACGCUGGCGGCAGGCCUAACACAUGCAAGUCGAACGGAGUGGCGGACGGGUGAGUAAUGUCUGGGAAACUGCCUGAUGGAGGGGGAUAACUACUGGAAACGGUAGCUAAUACCGCAUACUAUCAGAUGAGCCUAGGUUGGAUUAGCUAGUUGGUGGGGUAAAGGACUACCAAGGCGACGAUCCUUACCUGGUCUGAGAGGAUGAUCCGUCACCCUGGAACUGAGACACGUGCCAGACUCCUACGGGAGGCAGCAGUGGGGAAUAUUGGGCAAUGGGCGAAAGCCUGAUCCAGCCAUGCCGCGUGUGUGAAGAAGGUCUUCGGAUUGUAAAGCACUUUAAGUUGAGAGGCGUUACCAACAGAAUAAGCACCGGCUAACUUCGUGCCAGCAGCCGCGGUAAUAC